GAACUAAUGAUACAGAAUAGGAAAGAAAUACAAGAAUAUAGUAUUUAAAAGUUCUAGAGUUUUUGAAUCCACUAGACCCUUCAUUUAGGUAUCCACUUGGUUGGUCUCUCUUUUAUACUCAACCUCCCUUUUUAGUAUAUGACACAAUCAAGCAUAGGCUAUGAAUAACUUGAAAAUAAUAGCCUAUCAAGUUUAUUCCCAUAUACUAAUUACAUACCUUUCCUUGCUCUCAAAUAAGCAU
RNAcentral lists this long non-coding RNA (241 nucleotides) under Elaeis guineensis (African oil palm). Its description in RNAcentral is "long non-coding RNA (EGUI_LNC058177)". Lineage: Eukaryota; Viridiplantae; Streptophyta; Magnoliopsida; Arecales; Arecaceae. The record is from RNAcentral.